RNAcentral lists this transfer RNA (65 nucleotides) under Dipodomys ordii (Ord's kangaroo rat). It matches the Rfam family "tRNA". From Rfam's summary of the family: Transfer RNA (tRNA) molecules are approximately 80 nucleotides in length. Lineage: Eukaryota; Metazoa; Chordata; Mammalia; Rodentia; Heteromyidae. The record is from Rfam by way of RNAcentral.
GGUGGCUCAAUGGUAGAGCGCUUGCCUCACGCGCCAGAGGCCCUGGGUUCGAUUCCUCAGCACCA